UGUCAUGUAGGAAGGUGGAAGCCUUUCCAGGAUUUUAAACCUUGGCUCUGCUCCCCUCACCCCCAG
RNAcentral lists this microRNA precursor (66 nucleotides) under Mus pahari (shrew mouse). RNAcentral's name for it is "microRNA 7052 (MGP_PahariEiJ_G0006543.1)". The record is from RNAcentral. Lineage: Eukaryota; Metazoa; Chordata; Mammalia; Rodentia; Muridae.